Molecule: transfer RNA, 88 nt
Filed under: Mycobacterium hiberniae
Lineage: Bacteria; Bacillati; Actinomycetota; Actinomycetes; Mycobacteriales; Mycobacteriaceae
Description: Mycolicibacter hiberniae tRNA-Cys
Source: RNAcentral
GUUGCCGGCGGUGACGGCGUGAUCUCGCUGGCGCUGCAGGCGCUGGCCGGCGGCGACGUGCCGUUGGGGAUCAUCCCCGCCGGCACCG